UACGUAGGGUGCGAGCGUUGUCCGGAAUUACUGGGCGUAAAGAGCUCGUAGGUGGUUUGUCGCGUUGUUCGUGAAAACUCACAGCUUAACUGUGGGCGUGCGGGCGAUACGGGCAGACUGGAGUACUGCAGGGGAGACUGGAAUUCCUGGUGUAGCGGUGAAAUGCGCAGAUAUCAGGAGGAACACCGGUGGCGAAGGCGGGUCUCUGGGGCCGAUACUGACGCUGAGGAGCGAAAGCGUGGGGAGCGAACAGG
Molecule: ribosomal RNA, 254 nt
Filed under: uncultured bacterium
Lineage: Bacteria
Description: partial 16S ribosomal RNA
Rfam family: Bacterial small subunit ribosomal RNA
Source: RNAcentral